This 442-nucleotide ribosomal RNA is filed under the name uncultured bacterium. Its description in RNAcentral is "partial 16S ribosomal RNA". It matches the Rfam family "Bacterial small subunit ribosomal RNA", at positions 338 to 795 of the family's 1533-position model. The record is from RNAcentral.
CCUACGGGAGGCAGCAGUAGGGAAUAUUGCUCAAUGGGGGAAACCCUGAAGCAGCAACGCCGCGUGGAGGAUGAAGGUUUUAGGAUUGUAAACUCCUUUUGUUAGAGAAGAUUAUGACGGUAUCUAACGAAUAAGCACCGGCUAACUCCGUGCCAGCAGCCGCGGUAAUACGGAGGAUCCGAGCAUUAUCCGGAGUGACUGGGUGUAAAGAGUUGCGUAGGUGGCAUAAUAAGUAGCUAGUGAAAUCUGGUGGCUCAACCAUUCAGACUAUUAGCUAAACUGUUAAGCUCGAGACCGUUAGGGGUAACUGGAAUUUCUAGUGUAGGAGUGAAAUCCGUAGAUAUUAGAAGGAACACCAAUAGCGUAGGCAGGUUACUGGGACGGUUCUGACACUAAGGCACGAAAGCGUAGGGAGCAAACGGGAUUAGAUACCCUAGUAGUC